GUGAAGCGGUAAAAGCUCAAAUUUGAAAUCUGGUACUUUCAGUGCCCGAGUUGUAAUUUGUAGAAUUUGUCUUUGAUUAGGUCCUUGUCUAUGUUCCUUGGAACAGGACGUCAUAGAGGGUGAGAAUCCCGUUUGGCGAGGAUACCUUUUCUCUGUAAGACUUUUUCGAAGAGUCGAGUUGUUUGGGAAUGCAGCUCAAAGUGGGUGGUAAAUUCCAUCUAAAGCUAAAUAUUGGCGAGAGACCGAUAGCGAACAAGUACAGUGAUGGAAAGAUGAAAAGAACUUUGAAAAGAGAGUGAAAAAGUACGUGAAAUUGUUGAAAGGGAAGGGCAUUUGAUCAGACAUGGUGUUUUUUGCAUGCACUCGCCUCUCGUGGGCUUGGGCCUCUCAAAAAUUUCACUGGGCCAACAUCAAUUCUGGCAGCAGGAUAAAUCAUUAAGAAUGUAGCUACUUCGGUAGUGUUAUAGCUUUUUGGAAUACUGUUAGCCGGGAUUGAGGACUGCGCUUCGGCAAGGAUGUUGGCAUAAUGGUUAAAUGCCGCCCGUCUUGAAACACGGACCAAUUUU
RNAcentral lists this ribosomal RNA (566 nucleotides) under Hanseniaspora uvarum. Its description in RNAcentral is "partial large subunit ribosomal RNA". It matches the Rfam family "Eukaryotic large subunit ribosomal RNA", at positions 93 to 676 of the family's 3401-position model. The record is from RNAcentral. Lineage: Eukaryota; Fungi; Ascomycota; Saccharomycetes; Saccharomycodales; Saccharomycodaceae.